Molecule: long non-coding RNA, 236 nt
Filed under: Callithrix jacchus (white-tufted-ear marmoset)
Lineage: Eukaryota; Metazoa; Chordata; Mammalia; Primates; Cebidae
Description: lncRNA (ENSCJAG00000079393.1)
Source: RNAcentral
AUGGCAGUCACUCUCACUGAUGGAAUGUAAAUUAGAAUUUACUAGCAAAAAAUUCUGGGAAAUGUGCUCUUCAGAACUUACUUUUCACAGGAAAGCAUCAUAUUGCUAAAGGAGACAAAUGACCACUUAAAAGUAACCAUUAAUAUAGAUUAUUUAUGGACGAUUUUGUCUUGACUAUUAAUUAGGGGAGUAAUUGUAUAUCUAAACUUUAUAUCAGACCGCCAGUGGAUUUACUG